UACGAAGGGGGCUAGCGUUGUUCGGAAUCACUGGGCGUAAAGGGCGCGUAGGCGGCUUUGUAAGUCGGGGGUGAAAGCCUGUGGCUCAACCACAGAAUUGCCUUCGAUACUGCAUGGCUUGAGACCGGAAGAGGUUAGUGGAACUGCGAGUGUAGAGGUGAAAUUCGUAGAUAUUCGCAAGAACACCAGUGGCAAAGGCGGCUGACUGGUCCGGUUCUGACGCUGAGGCGCGAAAGCGUGGGGAGCAAACAGG
This 253-nucleotide ribosomal RNA is filed under the name uncultured bacterium. RNAcentral describes it as "partial 16S ribosomal RNA". It matches the Rfam family "Bacterial small subunit ribosomal RNA", at positions 524 to 776 of the family's 1533-position model. The record is from RNAcentral.